RNAcentral lists this ribosomal RNA (446 nucleotides) under uncultured bacterium. RNAcentral describes it as "partial 16S ribosomal RNA". It matches the Rfam family "Bacterial small subunit ribosomal RNA", at positions 338 to 795 of the family's 1533-position model. The record is from RNAcentral.
CCUACGGGAGGCAGCAGUCGAGAAUCAUUCACAAUGGGGGAAACCCUGAUGGUGCGACGCCGCGUGGGGGAAUGAAGGUCUUCGGAUUGUAAACCCCUGUCAUGUGGGAGCAAAUUAAAAAGAUAGUACCACAAGAGGAAGAGACGGCUAACACUGUGCCAGCAGCCGCGGUAAUACAGAGGUCUCAAGCGUUGUUCGGAAGCACUGGGCGUAAAGCGUGCGUAGGCUGUUGCGUAAGGCGUGUGUGAAAGGCGCGGGCUCAACCCGCGGACGGCACAUGAUACUGCGAGACUAGAGUGAGGGAGGGGGAGCCGGAAUUCUCGGUGUAGCAGUGAAAUGCGUAGAUAUCGAGAGGAACACUCGUGGCGAAGGCGGGUUCCUGGACAUUAACUGACGCUGAGGCACGAAGGCCAGGGGAGCGAAAGGGAUUAGAUACCCCUGUAGUC